RNAcentral lists this ribosomal RNA (710 nucleotides) under Listeria monocytogenes. Its description in RNAcentral is "bacterial SSU rRNA". It matches the Rfam family "Bacterial small subunit ribosomal RNA", at positions 823 to 1533 of the family's 1533-position model. Lineage: Bacteria; Bacillati; Bacillota; Bacilli; Caryophanales; Listeriaceae. The record is from RNAcentral.
UUAGGGGGUUUCCGCCCCUUAGUGCUGCAGCUAACGCAUUAAGCACUCCGCCUGGGGAGUACGACCGCAAGGUUGAAACUCAAAGGAAUUGACGGGGGCCCGCACAAGCGGUGGAGCAUGUGGUUUAAUUCGAAGCAACGCGAAGAACCUUACCAGGUCUUGACAUCCUUUGACCACUCUGGAGACAGAGCUUUCCCUUCGGGGACAAAGUGACAGGUGGUGCAUGGUUGUCGUCAGCUCGUGUCGUGAGAUGUUGGGUUAAGUCCCGCAACGAGCGCAACCCUUGAUUUUAGUUGCCAGCAUUUAGUUGGGCACUCUAAAGUGACUGCCGGUGCAAGCCGGAGGAAGGUGGGGAUGACGUCAAAUCAUCAUGCCCCUUAUGACCUGGGCUACACACGUGCUACAAUGGAUAGUACAAAGGGUCGCGAAGCCGCGAGGUGGAGCUAAUCCCAUAAAACUAUUCUCAGUUCGGAUUGUAGGCUGCAACUCGCCUACAUGAAGCCGGAAUCGCUAGUAAUCGUGGAUCAGCAUGCCACGGUGAAUACGUUCCCGGGCCUUGUACACACCGCCCGUCACACCACGAGAGUUUGUAACACCCGAAGUCGGUAGGGUAACCUUUAUGGAGCCAGCCGCCGAAGGUGGGACAGAUAAUUGGGGUGAAGUCGUAACAAGGUAGCCGUAUCGGAAGGUGCGGCUGGAUCACCUCCUUU